CCUACGGGGGGCAGCAGUAGGGAAUAUUGCUCAAUGGGGGAAACCCUGAAGCAGCAACGCCGCGUGGAGGAUGAAGGUUUUCGGAUUGUAAACUCCUUUUGUUAGAGAAGAUAAUGACGGUAUCUAACGAAUAAGCACCGGCUAACUCCGUGCCAGCAGCCGCGGUAAUACGGAGGGUGCAAGCGUUACUCGGAAUCACUGGGCGUAAAGAGCGCGUAGGCGGGAUAGCAAGUCAGAGGUGAAAUCCUAGGGCUUAACCAUAGAACUGCAUUUGAAACUGUUAUUCUAGAGUAUGGGAGAGGUAGGUGGAAUUCGUGGUGUAGGGGUGAAAUCCGUAGAGAUCAAGAGGAAUACUCAUGGCGAAGGCGACCUGCUAGAACAUAACUGACGCUGAGGCGCGAAAGCGUGGGGAGCAAACAGGAUUAGAUACCCCUGUAGUC
This 440-nucleotide ribosomal RNA is filed under the name uncultured bacterium. RNAcentral's name for it is "partial 16S ribosomal RNA". It matches the Rfam family "Bacterial small subunit ribosomal RNA", at positions 338 to 795 of the family's 1533-position model. The record is from RNAcentral.